This is a long non-coding RNA of Homo sapiens (human), 860 nucleotides long. RefSeq lists it as uncharacterized. NCBI's taxonomy places the organism in Eukaryota, Metazoa, Chordata, Mammalia, Primates, Hominidae. The transcript has 5 exons. The record is from RefSeq and is a predicted model, not a curated record.
GCCAUGUCCCACCUACGGUCCCUCGAGGGUCUUUUCAGCUACCCACCACCUGUCCACCAACUCCCCUCCGACCCCAGCUCAGGUUGAAACCUGACAAUUGGUGUAGUUGGCAGGAUCCCAAGGUGAGACAGCCCUUAGUCCCCGAUGAUCCCGGUCAGCCAUGUGGCCCCAGCAUGGGUUGUGGUACCCGCUGGCAGCCGUGCUGCUAGGAUGGGCCCUGGUGGAUAGGUCCCCCAUGAGCAGGGAGAAGGCGCAGAAGCACCUGGAAGCACAGAACACUGAGGGAGCGGCGCCUUUGCCAGUAGAGUUGGAUGGACGAUUUUGGCUGCGCUAUGGGAAGUACAAGCUCAGUCUCUGCGGGAUGCAGCGCAGGGCUGGAGUUCAAGGUUGGACCUCAUGCUCUAAAACAUGAAUGAAUGGCUACGGAAAGGUGGCCCAGACCCGGUGGAGUCACUGUGACACUGGGCCACUGCUCCCAUCCUGUUACAGAUACACACUAAGGAGGACCUCUUCCAACCAGGGAAAUGACCAGGGAAGGAACCCUUCUCCAGGGGACAUAUGUAUUGUUUGUGCAGCCUAUUAUGAGCUCCCCAGUGACUUUGGAAUGGAUACAGGACCCAAACGAACAAUGGGGAGCUGAAAAGCAAGAGGCAGCAGAAAAUCACCUUGGUUGUCCAAGGAAGAUUAAUAGUCUUUCAAUCUGAUGCCUCCAAGAUGAGAUUGGCUAAGAUUAUUUCACAGGAAACUAGAAAUGGAAGAGCAAAGUGAAGCUAAGGUGAUCAUGGAAAAGAAAUAAUUGAUGUAAGAACAAAUACUAAUACCAUAAAAACAUAUCAACAUACGACUAUGGGAGCAAUGCA